Molecule: non-coding RNA, 518 nt
Organism: Callorhinus ursinus (northern fur seal)
Lineage: Eukaryota; Metazoa; Chordata; Mammalia; Carnivora; Otariidae
Source: RefSeq, a predicted model, not a curated record
GUUCCCGCGACUGGGUGUGGCUGCACAAGCCGCAGGCAGUGGGCGGCCUUGAAUUCUGGCUCCCCUGCUCCCUGGCUGGGCACGCAGUUCCGUGCCUUUGGACUUCAGCCUCCCUCCUAGGCUGCUGUGGGAUCAGGAAGGCAGCUCAGGGAAAUGGGAGACAGCCCUAGCGCUAGUGUGGUCAGAGGGGCCUGGAGGUUGCUGAUUUUAGCUGCGCGGUGGCCUUGGGUGGAUGUGCUGCCAUCAGGAAACGGGCAGCUGUGCCAACCAUGUUUACUGCCGGGAACAGAAGAGACGCUCACAUUUGAUGCCUUGCGUCCAAAGAAUGCUCGAGAUGAUGUGGCGUUCCUGGGGGAGAAGCAGAAGUAAAUCGGGGUCGGACCUGCCCCUCGGAACCUUCUGAUUCUAGCUCCAGGGGCUGACAAAGCCCGUCAGAGUCAAGAUGGCAUUCGUUUGAUCUUGCCAGGCUCUGAUUUUUGCCCAUGUCUCCCUCUUUAGGAACAAAAAUACUGUCACAU